Molecule: ribosomal RNA, 468 nt
Filed under: uncultured bacterium
Lineage: Bacteria
Description: partial 16S ribosomal RNA
Rfam family: Bacterial small subunit ribosomal RNA
Source: RNAcentral
GACGAACGCUGGCGGCGUGCUUAACACAUGCAAGUCGAACGGAAAGGCCCUGCUUUCGUGGGGUUCUCGAGUGGCGAACGGGUGUGUAACACGUGAGUACCCUGCUCUUGAUUUUGGUAUACCUUCAGGAAACUGGGGCUAAUACCGGAUAGGAGCUCCUGCUGCAUGGUGGGGGUUGGAUAGUUUCGGCGGUUGGGGAUGGACUCGCGGCUUAUCUGCUUGUUGGUGGGGUAGUGGCUUACCAAGGGUUUGACGGGUAGCCGGCCUGGGAGGGUGACCGGCAAAAUGGGGACUGAGAUAGGGCCCAGACUCCAACGGGAGGCAGCAGUGGGGAAUAUGGCACAAUGGGGGGAAGCCGGAGGCAGCAACGCCGGGUGCGGGAUGACGGCCUGCGGGUUGUAAACCGCUUUCGCCUGUGACGAAGCGUGAGUGACGGUAAUGAGAAAAGAAGCACCGGCUAACUACGUG